Molecule: long non-coding RNA, 440 nt
Organism: Apodemus sylvaticus (European woodmouse)
Lineage: Eukaryota; Metazoa; Chordata; Mammalia; Rodentia; Muridae
Exons: 2
Source: RefSeq, a predicted model, not a curated record
ACUAUUGCACAUAGGGAAGGGCUGGAGCUGGGGCUUGGCAGUAGAAGGCUCGCCUGUGGCACAAGAGGACCUGGGAUCAGGGGAGGGAAAUGGGGAAAGGAAGGGUGGUAUGCCUGCCUCCUUAGAAAAGUCGCAUUAAAUGCUUCCAGAGAACCAAGCGGACAGAUGUGCAGUGUGCACGAGACGUGAGCAAGGGCAGCCCACAGACACAGAGUGAGGUCAGACACACAGCAACCCACAGACACACAGUGAGGUCACACACACAGCAGCCAACAGACACACAGUGAGGUCAGACACACAGCAACCCACAGACACACAGUGAGGUCACACACACAGCAGCCAACUGGGACAGACACACAGUGAGGUCACACACACAGCAGCCAACCGGGACAGACACACAGUGAGGUCACACACACAGCAACCCACAAACACACAGUGAG